RNAcentral lists this ribosomal RNA (440 nucleotides) under uncultured bacterium. RNAcentral's name for it is "partial 16S ribosomal RNA". It matches the Rfam family "Bacterial small subunit ribosomal RNA", at positions 338 to 795 of the family's 1533-position model. The record is from RNAcentral.
CCUACGGGUGGCAGCAGUGGGGAAUAUUGCACAAUGGGGGAAACCCUGAUGCAGCGAUGCCGCGUGAGUGAAGAAGUAUUUCGGUAUGUAAAGCUCUAUCAGCAGGGAAGAAAAUGACGGUACCUGUUUAAGAAGCCCCGGCUAACGACGUGCCAGCAGCCGCGGGAAUACGUAGGGGGCAAGCGUUCUCCGGAUUUACUGGGGGUAAAGGGAGCGGAGACGGCAGCACAAAUCUGAAGUGAAAUGCCGGGGCUUAACCCCGGAACUGCUUUGGAAACUGUGCAGCUAGAGUGCCGGAGAGGUAAGUGGAAUUCCUAGUGUAGCGGUGAAAUGCGUAGAGAUUAGGAGGAACACCAGUGGCGAAGGCGGCUUACUGGACUGUAACUGACGUUGAGGCUCGAAAGCGUGGGGAGCAAACAGGAUUAGAUACCCUAGUAGUC